This is a long non-coding RNA of Thunnus maccoyii (southern bluefin tuna), 1806 nucleotides long. RefSeq lists it as uncharacterized. The transcript is spliced from 3 exons. The record is from RefSeq and is a predicted model, not a curated record. Lineage: Eukaryota; Metazoa; Chordata; Actinopteri; Scombriformes; Scombridae.
AUGGCUGUCUUUUUAAACUUGAUUUUUGCUUCACUUCUGCCAUGACAAAGAUCUGUAAAUGCGUGUGGAUAUUUGUCUGUAACUCGAGGUUUUCUUCACCCUCAGCUCAGGCUCUCAGUCUCAUGCUGCCAGUCUAACGCUCCUCAAUAAGAACUUCAGCUGCCAACAUGAACAUCUGAAGGAGGCUCCCACAGCUGAGCGACCCAAACAACAUGGCGGGAUGCCACGCAGCUGCAAAAGUCGCUGUACUGCUCCCCACUGCUUUAACAAGCAAAAAACAGAGUGAACACAUCUGAUCAUCUGUGCUGAACAGAUCCCUUCAUCUGCUAUAGUGAGAGACACCAGUAUCUAACCAGUAUCAGCAGGGCUGUGGCCGACAGCUCAUUGCUGAGUGUCCAGAGAAAUGUCAGAAUGCCGACAGGUUGUUAUCAUCAGUGCCCUUAUCUUCCCCUUGCAGGUGCACCAGCACAACGAAAACAGCCUGCACAUCCCGCCAGCCAAGGUUUUAUGGCUUGCUGCAGCAGCCAUGUAACUCUAUCAGGUGAUCAACUUAAGACACAUAAAAGAGCAACGUUUAGCAUAUUCCAAGGUACAUUUAAAAUAAUAAAAACAUUGUUUUAUUAAAAAAAGAGGGACUAAUAGGUGGAAUUGAAUUGGUCAGGAUGGUAUGGCAUGGUGCACUGAGAACAUUUUGAACAGUGGUGUAAGUAACUAUUAUUUUGUUUUGCCACAUGAUCAUCUCACAGUAGGCAGUGAAAUGUUUUUCAUUAUUUUGACUCUACUUCAGAACAUUGGAUUUUAAAAGAAACAAUCACUAUUAAACUAUCUGCCCAGGUUUUGGGACAUUUAACUUUGAGUCUCUGCCUCCACCCUAGUCCAAUGGAGGUGAAUUGAAAUUUGAUUGUGAUGCUGACACUAGUGAAAAAUUAGUUUUCAGAGUCAACAGCAACAUCACCUUUCACAAUCAGAGGUCUGUCAGUUUUCACAUGGUCAAACAUAGUCACUAUAAAAACUGAUAACAGCAUGUUCUAUAGAAUAUAGAACGACCUUUUUAAAUGUAAUUUUCUAAUGCUGUGAGAAUAUCUCAAAAUGGGAAAAUGAAACUAAAACUACUGCAUAGGCUACCAUUACAGAUAAGAUAAAGGGGAGGAAUGGUAAAAAAAACCCAAAAAACUUUUCACUUUUAUUAUCUGUAAUGUUUCAAAAUAUCAGUCUAAUUUUAAAAAAGCAGAAAUGACAGGCAAGUUUUGAGAGGAGAGAAGAAAAGAAAUGUAAAGAACUUCUAGUGAGCCUGCACUGGGCUAAGGGACUCCACUUACAUUUUAAGCAUCCAAAUCAAAGCAUCAUCAUUUGUAAAAGAGAUCAAGCAAUGUUUCUGCAUUAAAAUUUUAUUCAAACUUAAUACAGGAAAUGAUGGGACCCUUUUUUCUUCUAAAGGUUUGUUUAAUCUUCACACACAUGCCAAAUAAAAUCUCUUUGAUCCUCUUCUCCCCUUUAAUCAGGGUACAUGCUCUCAUGCCCCCUUCCCUUUUCAGUCUCUCAUUCAAACUUGUUCCUCCUCAACCCGUAUGUCUCCUUGUACUGGUUUCAUUUCUGUUGACAAAGCAUUACAGAGCCCCCAUGUCUUGUCUUGCCUAAUUGGUCCACGUGGAUUAAUUUAGCAUCUAAUUACCAAGCUAGUUUUCAUGCUUCUGAAUUUUCAGGGUCGUGUUUUGCCUUUAGAUAACUUUCCUCACUCUCAAGGCUAUGUAGUUACUCACAUUUCACUGAACCAUAUGAAUAAAUGUGCAUUGUAAUAGAUGUAAA